UUAAAAUGUAAUUAUAAAAAAUUAGAGUAGUAACAGUUAUAUUCUUAAAACUUAAUAAAUUUGGCGGUGUUUUAAUCUAUUCAGAGGAACCUGUUCUAUAAUUGAUAAUCCACGUUGAAUCUUACUUAAUUUUGUUUAAUUUGUAUACCGUCGUCAUCAGAAUAUCUUAUAAGAGAAAAAAUUUUCUAAAAUUUUUAUUAAUAAUAAUGUCAGAUCAAGGUGCAGUUUAUAGUUAAGAAGAAAUGGGUUACAAUAAAUUUAUUUAAACGGAUAUGAAAUUUAAAUUUUUCAUUAAAGGUGGAUUUGAUAGUAAAAUAAUAAAGAUAAUUUAUUUGAUUUUAGUUCUAAAACAUGC
Molecule: ribosomal RNA, 355 nt
Filed under: Bolitophila cinerea
Lineage: Eukaryota; Metazoa; Arthropoda; Insecta; Diptera; Mycetophilidae
Description: partial 12S ribosomal RNA
Source: RNAcentral